CAAGCCUGAGCUGAAACAGGGCAAGGCAUCGCCUCACCCGGGAAGCACAAGAGAUGCCAAAUGAAAGUUAAAGAACCCAAGUGUUUCCAAGAUGAGAGAGGGGAGCCUCCCGAGGGCUGUAUGAAGUCAAAGGAAAGAUUAUGGAGGUAAGGUGAGGUGGGGGAAUGUGUCCUGACCUGAGAACUGAUUAACAGGGGUGGUGAAUAUUUACUUUUGGCAGUAAGAGAAGGAGAUGUAAUUUGUAAAGGGCAGACAGAGGCCUUCCAAAGAGCCAACAAUGUUCUAAUUUUUGAAUGAGGUGUUAGUCACAUGAGUAUUCUUUUUAUGAUAUCUCAGUAGGCUAUUCAUUUGUUUUAUUACAUUUUCUGUAUGUGUUAAGUUUCAC
Molecule: long non-coding RNA, 385 nt
Filed under: Homo sapiens (human)
Lineage: Eukaryota; Metazoa; Chordata; Mammalia; Primates; Hominidae
Description: HSALNT0296567
Source: RNAcentral